UACAGAGGUCUCAAGCGUUGUUCGGAUUCAUUGGGCGUAAAGGGUGCGUAGGUGGCGCGGUAAGUCGGGUGUGAAAUCUCGGAGCUUAACUCCGAAACUGCAUUCGAUACUGCGGUGCUUGAGGACUGGAGAGGAGACUGGAAUUCAUGGUGUAGCAGUGAAAUGCGUAGAGAUCAUGAGGAAGACCAGUGGCGAAGGCGGGUCUCUGGACAGUUCCUGACACUGAGACACGAAGGCCAGGGGAGCAAACGGG
Molecule: ribosomal RNA, 253 nt
Filed under: uncultured bacterium
Lineage: Bacteria
Description: partial 16S ribosomal RNA
Rfam family: Bacterial small subunit ribosomal RNA
Source: RNAcentral